Molecule: ribosomal RNA, 294 nt
Filed under: Escherichia coli
Lineage: Bacteria; Pseudomonadati; Pseudomonadota; Gammaproteobacteria; Enterobacterales; Enterobacteriaceae
Description: partial 16S ribosomal RNA
Rfam family: Bacterial small subunit ribosomal RNA
Source: RNAcentral
UUAAAUUGAAGAGUUUGAUCAUGGCUCAGAUUGAACGCUGGCGGCAGGCCUAACACAUGCAAGUCGAACGGUAACAGGAAGAAGCUUGCUUCUUUGCUGACGAGUGGCGGACGGGUGAGUAAUGUCUGGGAAACUGCCUGAUGGAGGGGGAUAACUACUGGAAACGGUAGCUAAUACCGCAUAACGUCGCAAGACCAAAGAGGGGGACCUUCGGGCCUCUUGCCAUCGGAUGUGCCCAGAUGGGAUUAGCUAGUAGGUGGGGUAACGGCUCACCUAGGCGACGAUCCCUAGCUG